UGGGGAAUUUUGGACAAUGGGCGAAAGCCUGAUCCAGCAAUGCCGCGUGUGUGAAGAAGGCCUUCGGGUUGUAAAGCACUUUUGUCCGGAAAGAAAUCCUUGGCUCUAAUACAGUCGGGGGAUGACGGUACCGGAAGAAUAAGCACCGGCUAACUACGUGCCAGCAGCCGCGGUAAUACGUAGGGUGCAAGCGUUAAUCGGAAUUACUGGGCGUAAAGCGUGCGCAGGCGGUUUGCUAAGACCGAUGUGAAAUCCCCGGGCUCAACCUGGGAACUGCAUUGGUGACUGGCAGGCUAGAGUAUGGCAGAGGGGGGUAGAAUUCCACGUGUAGCAGUGAAAUGCGUAGAGAUGUGGAGGAAUACCGAUGGCGAAGGCAGCCCCCUGGGCCAAUACUGACGCUCAUGCACGAAAGCGUGGGGAGCAAACAGGAUUAGAUACCCUGGUAGUCCACGCCCUAAAACGAUGUCAACUAGUUGUUGGGGAUUCAUUUCCUUAGUAACGUAGCUAACGCGUGAAGUUGACCGCCUGGGGAGUAACGGUCGCAAGAUUAAAAACUUAAAUGAAUUGACGGGGUCAUAGCUGUUUCCU
RNAcentral lists this ribosomal RNA (588 nucleotides) under uncultured bacterium. RNAcentral's name for it is "partial 16S ribosomal RNA". It matches the Rfam family "Bacterial small subunit ribosomal RNA", at positions 355 to 1375 of the family's 1533-position model. The record is from RNAcentral.